UUAUUUACUAUUUAGGCUGCUAGGCUCUGUUCACUGUCUGCUAUUAAAUGUAGUUGUCAAGAACCGAGAAGGUACGCAAUAAAUCAACUAUAUAGCUGUUGAUAUUACUCUAUCUCCCCAUGGUCUCUAUCUCUCUCAAUUCCCUCCUUAUCUAUUCCCUUUCCAAUUUAAAUCGCCGGAACCCUAUGUCGGGGUCAUUACAAUGGAGGACGCACGGUUGUGCGUGUUCUGUGCGUCUUUCGCUUCACUUUCACGCACGACCGUGCGUGUUCGGCUUCACUUUCACACAAGGCCGUGCGUGUUCGGCUUCACUUUUACGCACGGAGGACAACAGCCGUGCGUGUGCCGUGCGUCCCAGCUGCUUCAUUCCGACCAUUCCUCUCCAUUUCAAUUUUGGUCAGUUUCGACAUCUAGGACUCAAAACUUGAUUUUUAUUUGGAUUUUGAGUUGUUCUUCGCAAUUCCUAGAUGCUUCCAGUCCUUUGAAGUCUAUCAUCCCUUGAUGCUGCUUUUACCUGGAAUUUGCGAUUUCGACCCAAGUUUCUGAGUUUGUCUUUGUACCAAGGUUUGUAGUUCCAUGCUAGUUCAGAAACUGCACUUCUGACUAUCCCAUUUCAUCCAAUUUGCCAUCUGGAAUAAGGUUAAUGAAGAAAUCAGAAGCUGGCGAUAUUGAGUUUGAAUUUGUUGCAUGAUCUCCUUAUAUUAAUUCUGGACUGGCCAUGUUAUUUAUAGGUACAUUACAUGAGCCUAACAAAAUUAUGAUAGUUCACCCUUUCAUGAUCCCAUCACAAGCUUCUACCUUGUGUUUUUGUUGGAUAUGCAGUGAGAAGAAGCAUGAUAUGGGAAAACAAGCUUGGAAUGAACAUCAGUACGUAGGUGUGCUUGUUUAAUUGUUCAUAUGUUGCGGAAUGCACCUCCACUUAGACAAGAUUCUCGCAGUAUUAUUAUGUUUCUUUGAUGAAUCAACAGCUAGCUUCUUCCUAUUGAAACCCAAUUCACAUCCAAAUUGGCUCAUGAGUAGUUGAAAUGCAGAAAUUAUGAUUUCUGCAAUUUUCAUUACACAAGAGUCACAAUAUAUUGUGUAGACUUGGUACAUGAUGAUAUCUCUUGUGAUAUAUGCCUGACAAUAUCCUGUUUGUUUCUCAGGUGGUUGGUUCAUUUCAGCUGCUACAAUUUCCAGGGCAGUUCCUUAAUUGCCACAUAUUCAAGCUCUGGCCUUUUCUUGGGAUUAUGUUCCAGGUAGGAUGUUGUUAUACGACUCUUACAAGUACUGUAUAAUCUGGCAUAAAGUCCAACUCUUGUUUCAUGACAGAUUCCACUUAUAAAGAUCAAAGCCAUUAUAUCACACAGGCAUACAUAUAUAUGUGUAUGUAAUGAAGAGUGUCUGUCAAUAAACACUAGAGCAAGAAAUGCAAUAGCCAGGUGUUGUUGAUCAUUGUGAAUCUCCGAGGGGAUCUUCAUAGACUCGCCUUGAAACCUCUGUCGUCCCAAGUCAUCACCAGAGGGAAAGACCAACCCACCAAACAUUUUCUCCAUAUAACUUGCAGCUAAAAUGAACAUCUCCCUUGGAAAAGCUAGCAUAACACCAUAACCAUUAAUGAACAUCUCCCUUGGAAAAGCUUAUCAUUUGAUGCCACACGGAAUGAUCAUUUCGCCAUCGGUUAAUGAAGAAAUCAGAAGCUGGCGAUUUAAGUUAUGGUGGUAGUGUUUGAAUAUGUUGCAUGGUCUUCUUCUUUUAAUUCUGGACUCCCAUGUUAUCAGUCUAUUCAUUCAUAGAUAUGGUUAUUGAUAAGAUCAAAUCCAUUUAUUUAUAGGUACUCAAAGAUAACAGAGAUGAUUCAGGACGGACGAUAUAGAUGACUGUGACUUGUCAUGUCCUUUCGACUACAUGUGAUGUUCCAAAUCAGGUGCUUGGUUGUUUUUCAUGUCUGUCAGGGCAAUUUAUUGCAUGGUUCUAAGUGGUAGUUCAUUCACAGUUUAGUUCUGAUGAUUAUAUCUUAAUCAUGGAAAAUUAGACCCAUUUGUUAACUGCAUAUCUAAUUGCAUGGUCUCAAGUAAUGCUUGUGAUAUGGUAUGCAUGUAAAAGCUGUUGCUGAGUCUAUGUCUACCACAAUGAUGAACAGCAAUUCAAUCACACUUGAUUUCAUCUCGGGGUUUAGUACUUGUAAUACAGGAGGAUAUUAUGCUUACAAAUUCAAUGGUGCAAGUCCAAAACAGUUUGAUGUUUAAUGGUGCAUGUCCCACCGUAUUAGCUUUGCUGUCUAAACAGUUGAUGUUUUUAUAAGGCACAUGAGCAUAACAAAAUUCGAUCGGCAUAGUUCACGUUGUUAUGGUCUCAUAUGACACUAGCUUAAUUUUUUUAUUUGGAUUCCGAUUUUUGGAUAAUUUUAAUAUUAAAUAAUGAUUUAUUUGAUCACAUCGAUGAUAUAUAUCCAUUGUCAUCCUCACCUUUAUGUCUUUGACCACGUACACCGUAAGUUUUUAGGUUGUCUUGUUUCUAGGUGUAGUGGUUUACUAGUCAAAAUAUUCGAGAAAAAUAUUAUACAUAAAUCUGUCAAAAGCCAUCAACUGAUCAAAAGUAUAUGUGGUUUAUACAUUUUUCUUAGCUCCGAGUUUAAGAAGACAUAAUGACUGAACUUUUGACACGGUGAGAGAGAGUUUGUAAAUUUAUGAUAGUUUACUUUUCGAACCCUCUCAAAUACAAUAGUUCCUUUAAAUCUUAAAAAUUGGGGUCCAAUGUUCAGACAUCCGGUUCAUUUU
Molecule: long non-coding RNA, 2759 nt
Filed under: Linum usitatissimum (flax)
Lineage: Eukaryota; Viridiplantae; Streptophyta; Magnoliopsida; Malpighiales; Linaceae
Description: long non-coding RNA (LUSI_LNC007111)
Source: RNAcentral